Molecule: ribosomal RNA, 441 nt
Filed under: Staphylococcus aureus
Lineage: Bacteria; Bacillati; Bacillota; Bacilli; Caryophanales; Staphylococcaceae
Description: partial 23S ribosomal RNA
Rfam family: Bacterial large subunit ribosomal RNA
Source: RNAcentral
CGUGUUCGAAAGGGAAACAGCCCAGACCACCAGCUAAGGUCCCAAAAUAUAUGUUAAGUGGAAAAGGAUGUGGCGUUGCCCAGACAACUAGGAUGUUGGCUUAGAAGCAGCCAUCAUUUAAAGAGUGCGUAAUAGCUCACUAGUCGAGUGACACUGCGCCGAAAAUGUACCGGGGCUAAACAUAUUACCGAAGCUGUGGAUUGUCCUUUGGACAAUGGUAGGAGAGCGUUCUAAGGGCGUUGAAGCAUGAUCGUAAGGACAUGUGGAGCGCUUAGAAGUGAGAAUGCCGGUGUGAGUAGCGAAAGACGGGUGAGAAUCCCGUCCACCGAUUGACUAAGGUUUCCAGAGGAAGGCUCGUCCGCUCUGGGUUAGUCGGGUCCUAAGCUGAGGCCGACAGGCGUAGGCGAUGGAUAACAGGUUGAUAUUCCUGUACCACCUAUA